ACUCCUACGGGAGGCAGCAGUGGGGAAUUUUGCACAAUGGGGGAAACCCUGAUGCAGCAACGCCGCGUGGAGGAUGAAGUCCCUUGGGAUGUAAACUCCUUUCGACCGGGACGAUAAUGACGGUACCGGAAGAAGAAGCACCGGCUAACUCUGUGCCAGCAGCCGCGGUAAUACAGAGGGUGCAAGCGUUGUUCGGAAUUAUUGGGCGUAAAGGGCGCGUAGGCGGUGCGGUAAGUCUGCGGUGAAAUCUCCCGGCUCAACUGGGAGGCUGCCGUGGAAACUGCCGUGCUUGAGUGUGGGAGAGGUGAGUGGAAUUCCCGGUGUAGCGGUGAAAUGCGCAGAUAUCAGGAGGAACACCGGUGGCGAAGGCGGGUCUCUGGGCCGAUACUGACGCUGAGGAGCGAAAGCGUGGGGAGCGAACAGGAUUAGAUACCCUGGUAGUCCACGCUGUAAACGUUGGGCGCUAGGUGUGGGGGGCCUCUCCGGUCCUCUGUGCCGCAGCUAACGCAUUAAGCGCCCCGCCUGGGGAGUACGGCCGCAAGGCUAAAACUCAAAGGAAUUGACG
This 565-nucleotide ribosomal RNA is filed under the name uncultured Acidobacteriota bacterium. RNAcentral describes it as "bacterial SSU rRNA". It matches the Rfam family "Bacterial small subunit ribosomal RNA", at positions 335 to 915 of the family's 1533-position model. Lineage: Bacteria; Pseudomonadati; Acidobacteriota. The record is from RNAcentral.